This is a long non-coding RNA of Anoplopoma fimbria (sablefish), 113 nucleotides long. RefSeq lists it as uncharacterized. The transcript has 3 exons. The record is from RefSeq and is a predicted model, not a curated record. Lineage: Eukaryota; Metazoa; Chordata; Actinopteri; Perciformes; Anoplopomatidae.
CCUGUUGAUGCUGUUGCUGUUGCUGUGGAGCUCAGGACUCCAGGCUGAAGGAAAUCACACAUCAACAGAGUCUGUCAGGUUGGUGGGAGGAGACAGUCGCUGUGCAGGAACAC